RNAcentral lists this ribosomal RNA (301 nucleotides) under uncultured bacterium. RNAcentral describes it as "partial 16S ribosomal RNA". It matches the Rfam family "Bacterial small subunit ribosomal RNA", at positions 509 to 809 of the family's 1533-position model. The record is from RNAcentral.
CAGUCGCCGCGGUAAUACGGAGGGUGCAAGCGUUAAUCGGAAUUACUGGGCGUAAAGCGCACGCAGGCGGUCUGACAAGUCAGAUGUGAAAUCCCCGGGCUUAACCUGGGAACUGCAUUUGAAACUGUCAGGCUGGAGUCUUGUAGAGGGGGGUGGAAUUCCAGGUGUAGCGGUGAAAUGCGUAGAGAUCUGGAGGAAUACCGGUGGCGAAGGCGGCCUCCUGGACAAAGACUGACGCUCAGGUGCGAAAGCGUGGGGAGCAAACAGGAUUAGAUACCCCGGUAGUCCCUGUCUCUUAUAA